This 319-nucleotide ribosomal RNA is filed under the name Clostridiales bacterium. Its description in RNAcentral is "bacterial SSU rRNA". It matches the Rfam family "Bacterial small subunit ribosomal RNA", at positions 1 to 300 of the family's 1533-position model. Lineage: Bacteria; Bacillati; Bacillota; Clostridia; Eubacteriales. The record is from RNAcentral.
UUUUUAAGAGUUUGAUCCUGGCUCAGGACGAACGCUGGCGGCGCGCCUAACACAUGCAAGUCGAACGGAGUUUUUAAGACCAAUCUCUUCGGAGUGCGGUUUUUGAAACUUAGUGGCGGACGGGUGAGUAACACGUGAGCAACCUGCCCUUAAGAGAGGAAUAACGUUUGGAAACGAACGCUAAUGCCUCAUAACAUAACCGGAUGGCAUCGUCUGGUUAUCAAAGGAGCAAUCCGCUUAAGGAUGGGCUCGCGUCCGAUUAGAUAGUUGGUGAGGUAACGGCUCACCAAGUCGACGAUCGGUAGCCGGACUGAGAGGU